Physeter macrocephalus (sperm whale) is the source of this 5720-nucleotide long non-coding RNA. RefSeq lists it as uncharacterized. The record is from RefSeq and is a predicted model, not a curated record. NCBI's taxonomy places the organism in Eukaryota, Metazoa, Chordata, Mammalia, Artiodactyla, Physeteridae. The transcript has 3 exons.
UACACUAAUACAUAACGUAUAAUAUACUGAUACAUAACAUAUGUACUAUACAAAUAUAUAACAUAUAACACGCUAACGUGUAACAUAUAUGCUAAUAUGAUUACAAUACACUGAUAUAUAACUAAAUAAUAUAAUGAUAACUAUAGCUCUGUCCACACAUAAGGCAAGUGGAGAACCAAGACAAUAUCCCACCGGGGAGCGGGGGGCAGGAGAGAACAGCGGGUGGGUCACAGAGGGGACAGUGGAGUCCAGGCUGGGUGAGCCCGCAGCCUCGCUGAACCUCAGGUACAUCCGCCUGCGUGAAGGGCUGUGACAAGAUGCAGUAAGUCAGCACAUUUAAAACAGCAGACUCGCUGCACGACAGACAAGAGAGAGACUCAGACACCAAGGAGGGCUUCCAGCAGAGGAGCAUGCAGAUAAGCACUCUGGGCUGGUACUCAGCUCAGGGGGAGGGGCCCUGGGGGCCUUGCAAGAGGAGCCCCUGGUAGAAGGAGGUCUGGAGGCUGAGACCCAGGAGCCUUCCUGCCGCCGUGGGUCCUUCCCCCUCUGGCUCAUCCGCUCUGACCCCAGGAGCCGCGGGCGGAGACCCAAGCCUGGCCCCGGGGCUGCUCUUCCCGCUGGUUCCUGUGUCAGUUUUGUGAACAGGCCCGGACUCUGAGCUGAGCUAAUCCUGUAAAAGCCAGAGCAGCCUCAGAAUGGGGUGGCUCUGGGGGGCAGUGAGGAGCGGGGUCGCCCAGCUUUGUCACAAGGUCACGUCAGAGGCCGGAGGACCAAGACGCCUCACUGGAAACAUCUGACUCCAGAGAGAAAAGGCAGCACGUACUUUUACACAGUUAGUGUGGCCGGAAGAAUAAUGGCGCCAAGGCUGUCCACGUGCUAAUCUCCAGGACCUGGGAGUACGUUCCCUUACGGGGCUCAGGAGCCUCUGCAGCUGUGAUCAAGCUCAGGAUCUUGACGCAGGGAGACACCCGGGAUUAUCGGUGAGCCCGGGGUAGUCACGUGGGUCCUUUCAAGCCGGUCAGAAGGAGGCGUGGCAAUGGGGGCAGAGGUCAGAGGAAGAGGUUGCGCGCUGCUAUUCCGCAGGCUUUGCAGGUGGAGGAGGGGCCACAAGCCAAGGGACGCAGGCGCCUCCAGGAGCUGGAAAAGGCAGGAGACGUUCUGCCCUGGAGCCUCCAGGAGGGACCAGCCCUGCCGACGCCUUGAUUCUAGGACUUCUGACUUCAGAAGUGUGAGCGGUCGUGGGAAUGUGCUGCAGCGGCGGCAGUAGGAAGUCAAUCCACGUAACCAUGGAAGAAUGAAAAUAAACAUAGUCCAGCUGAUACGCGUAGGAGGAGCGAGAGCAAAGCGGGUCAGCCCCCGAGCUGUGCGGCUCAGCUGCCCCACGACGGACCUUGAAAGCAGCAGCCCUGGUCUUUCCCCAGCUGUGGACACGCGUGAUCUCGGGACACGGCCGCACGGGGAGGCGGAGCUGGGGAAGGGAGGCAGGAACUCUUCUGUGCCCCUCACCCGAUCUCACAGCGAAGGGCUUGUGCGCGAGCUCUCAGCUGGAAACAGGCACUGCUUGCUCUCGUCUCUCCUGGGGCCUCGCAUUGCAGGGACGAGCAGGGCUGUGAGCGCGGCCCGCGGUCCUGAGGGCGCUCUUGCUGCUUCGUCUUCGGGGCAGCACGGAGGGCCUGGGUGAGCCCUGAGCUGGUCGUGGCUCUGAACCGAGGGCCGACGGCACCAAAGAGCGGGCCUCUCCCAUAAAGUCCAGGCCUGGGCCAGGGGUGCGGGCUCCGCAAGGCCCCGGCCUGGGCUGAGGACGCGCCUCCAGGGUAACCAGCACGACACCACGGGCUGGGCUUAACUGAACAGACCUGAUUCCUCCCCACUCCUGAGGCUGCAAGUCCAAGAUCGAGGUGCUGGCAGAUUCGACCCCACCUCGCGGUGGCCGCCUUCUCGCCGAGUCCUGGCGCGGAGGGGAGCGCGGGCUCUGGUCUCCUCUUGUGAGGGCGCUGCUUCCAUCGCGGGCCCCACCCUAUGACCUCAUCCAUCCCUGAUGACGCGCACAGCUGACGCCACCACACUGGGGGUCCAGCAUCUGCAUCCUGGGGAGACACCACCUGUCCGCCACCACACUGGGGGUCCAGCAUCUGCAUCCUGGGGAGACACCAUCUGUCCGCGGCACUGGCGGGGACGCGUCUCCGAACCUUGGCCGCCCCAAACCCAUCUCAGAAAACGGCCCCAAACUGAGAAGCCGUUUGAGUCUUCUGCUUCCGUCUUCCCUGUCGGCUCUGCCUCCGAAAUCCGUCCUCCGUCCCUCACUUUCUCCUCCUCUCCCCACAUCCGCCUCUGCCACCCAGCGUCCAUUCUCCACCCAGCAGAUACUGAACCUUUUAAGCCAUCUCUCCGAGGAGCCCGCGCCCCUCUUAGAACCCCCUACCUCGCCAGGGUCCACACCCACCCGCCCCGUGCUGUCUGUGUGACGCCCUGGGGUCCCACUUCAGCGGGACCUCCCCGUUGCCGGGGCCGGAGGAGCCCACUCUGUCUCUCGCCCUCCCGGCCCGCUUUCUUGAGGUGUUUAUCCCCACGUGAGAGUCCUGUUUCCUGCAUCCUGUAUCGAUUGACCUUGGUCUUCUGGAACGUCUGCUCCGCCCGGGUACGGGGACCCACCACAGUGCCUCACCCGCACCUCCAGUGUCCACAAGGCUCUGAAAGUGGACAUGCUGCCCAUAACCAUUUGCCAGAAAACCCUGAACUGACCCGGACUCACGUGGUCGCCAAAACCGAUGGGAAUGGCUGGAGCCACUGUGGUCUGAACUUACCCUGUGGUCUGAAUGUUCCCGAGGGCCGUGAGGGAUGUUGACGCGUUUGAUUUUGGGGGGCUCUCCUCCAGCCCUGGAGAGCGUUACAGCCACAGGGCGCACGCGCCGUCACAGCUUCCAAAACUAGGCAUCAUCCGCGUUCAAAGCCAUCUGGCCCCGGGAUGCCAGGUCUCUCCGCUUUCAUCCUCUGCUCCCUGGUCCUUGUACUCUGGGCAGGAUGCUUUAUUCUACCAGGAGCAGCGCAGAAUUAAAUCUGUCACUUUUCACGGACUGCACUAGUCUCGUAGUUCCGAGGGAGAAAGGAGAUGAUGAUGCAAGCGUGGCCCGGUGUUAACAACAGAGCGCUCUGGGUGAAGAGACUGAGCGUCUCUGUGCUGUCCUCGCGCCCGCACGCUCUUCUGCAGGUUUGGAACCGUUUCCGCAUAAAGAGUUAGAAGCCCACCCACGUCCUGUGUCACUCCUGCCUGCCCCUCCCUCAGCAUCUCCCGUUUAAUCUCAGCUUGUUGUCUUAUUACCAUUGAUAUCUUGUUCCACGGGUUCCCGGGUUUGCUAGAAUCUUACUGAGAUAGCUUUGCAAAUGCUGCCUGAAAUUUACAUUUUGUUUUUGUAGUCGGUCAUUUCUACAGAUACGCUCUUCCUCUGUGAGUAUGGUUCUUUGCCAACUUUCUUAAUUUCUUUGGUCCUCCGUCUUCCCUGAUCUUUGCAGAGGCCCCACUUACCUCAUUUACUGAAACACAAAGCCCCCAGGCUGAUGCUCAGGGGUGAACAGUGAAGGGGCUGCCCUACCCGGCAACCGUUUCUUGGCACUUCCUUGCUUCCAGGAGCCCCUGCUGUCCCGGGGGUGGGUCUCCUGAUCCCGUGGUCUGGCUGUCCUUCCAUGAAGGGGGUGUAUCCCUACAGCUCGGGGCAGCCCGCUGGGCGUCCCUUGCCAGCCGGCCCCCCAUCGCCCGGAACGCAGGCUGGAGGUGGGCGCGAAGCAGCUGUGGCACACGCAGCCGGCACACGUGGCGCGGGAGCUUCUCACGGACCUUGAGCAAUAGUUCUAAUUCCAGCGCUGUCGAAACUUUUCUGUGUUUCACAAGCAUUGCCUCUGUGGUGUCUGCACAGGGGAGAUUGUGCCAUGAGUUACUGAAGUGUUGCUGUCAACUCUAGUGCUGAACUGAGUUUAUUUAAAAACAGAAAAGGAGGGAGGGAGGGAGGAGAAAAGUAGGCAGAGGCUGCUGCGAGCCGGAAGACUGGGUGACAGGGCUGUUGCUCUGUCUGAAGACACCGUAUCUGUGAGCGGGUUCCUUUCCUUGCACUCACCCUGACCCUCUCUUGCUCACCACUCGCCGCACACCCAGCACUUGCAGGGUUAAUGUUGCACCGAGGCGCCCGCCCCGUCUGGUUUCACACCCAGGGAAGCAGGGUCCGGCCGGACAACGGCCCCGCGGGCCUUUGGGGGUGGUUCGCGCUCCCCCCGGGCAGGGGGGAAGGAGAGCGGGUAUUGGGGCCGCAGAGCCUCAGACCCUGGGCCAGGGAGCCUGGGAGUCCUGGAGGUGAGCUCCGGGGACCCGGAACGGGAGAGAGAAAGAGCUGACAUGGGACCGGGGAGCCACGUGCCUGCGCCCUCAGGGCGGGAGCUGACUCGGCGCGGCGCCAGCUCCGGGGAGUGGGGGGAACCUCCAUCUGGGGCCUCGGGCUGCGGGUCCCCCCCGCCCCCCGUGCGGGUGUGACCCCGCGUGGACGGGCGGCCGGGCCUGUGCCCUGGGCCAACAGAGGCACCUUGAGCCCGGGAGCCCGGCAUCAGAGCCUGUGUUCAAGGCCCCAGGGGCCAAGGGUCCUUGCAAGGGACCUCCUCCAAGGGUCUCCCCGCAGCCGAGACGCCCUCAUUCUUAUCCACCCCCCGGAUGCUCUCAGUCCUUCCACAAGGACCCUUGUCUCCCGCCCCAGCUCAAGGCCCACCGUCCUGCUCACCUCCUCUCGGGGUCCCCUCACCCCCUCAGUGCUUCUCGCUGGAGGUCCUGAAACGGCGGAGCAAGCCCUCCGGCCGCCCCUUGCCCACAGCAGCACGUCCCAGAGAGCAGUCGCUUCCCUCGCCGAGGUCGUGACUUCGGCCAUGUGCUUGAACCAAGUGUGUUAUCAUGCGCUUAACCUUGGUUUUCAAAUCAACUCCCUACUUAAACAUACUUAUUUAAAAGGACAUGCCGUAGGUCUCCCAUACAUGGAAUACCAGUGCUUUCCUCAUAGACUUUAAAAUAAAUAGAAAACGAUUAAAAUGUAAAACACUCAUCCAGGGACCACCUACAGUCAGGAACACUUCCUCCUAGUACCUUCCGAAAUCACGCGUUCAUCUGCAAUUGUUUGUGUGACCCGCUGUGAACAUUCAACCUCUCAAGGAAGAGGGGAAGCAAAGUAAGUAGCUUGAGGAGACAAAAACAUACUGAAGAGGCUUAAAAGGGUCAGGAAGGGAGGUGCCUCUGAAAUGACCACCUGCAGGACCACAGGAAGAUGGCAGCCGUCGCCCUGCCUUUUCACUGGCAGCUUCUCCGGAGUCGCGGAUUUGGGUUUCCGUCUGAGUUUUCAGUGGGCAGUCUUUUCAUUUGUUUACCUCGCUUGUUUGUCUCUCAUCGUAGAUAUCAGCUCCCUUCCGGCAGGGGCUUUUCUGUUUUUAUUUCUCUUUUUUCACAGCUAUGGAUGAAAACGUGCUGCCUGGAUGAAUGUGGCGAGUUUUGUUUUUUUCCUGUGUUGAUGAGAACUUGGAAGGGUUGCAGCCAAAGCAGCUCUAGUCCAUUUCUAAAGAGACGAUCUGUUUGUAUUUAUUGACACAAUGAAGUUUUGAAAUGUUUUCUGGUCAAACCCAUUACCUUUUCCUUAUUGUUUUAAUCUUUGGUUUCAUGUUUCUUAAGUUCUCCCUCACCCCAAGAUUACAUAAAU